Molecule: ribosomal RNA, 382 nt
Filed under: uncultured bacterium
Lineage: Bacteria
Description: bacterial SSU rRNA
Rfam family: Bacterial small subunit ribosomal RNA
Source: RNAcentral
UUGUAAAGCACUUUCAGUAGGGAGGAAGGUAGUGUAGUUAACACCUGCAUUAUUUGACGUUACCUACAGAAGAAGCACCGGCUAACUCCGUGCCAGCAGCCGCGGUAAUACGGAGGGUGCGAGCGUUAAUCGGAAUUACUGGGCGUAAAGCGCAUGCAGGCGGCCUGUUAAGUCAGAUGUGAAAGCCCGGGGCGUUAACCUCGGAAUUGCAUUUGAAACUGGCAGGCUAGAGUCUUGUAGAGGGGGGUAGGAAUUUCAGGUGUAGCGGUGAAAUAGCGUAGAGAUCUGAAGGAAUACCAGUGGCGAAGGCGGCCCCCUCGGACAAAGACUGACGCUCAGAUGCGAAAGCGUGGGGAGCAAACAGGAUUAGAUACCCUGGUAG